UACCGCGUGUGUGAAGAAGGCCUUAGGGUUGUAAAGCACUUUCAAUUGGGAGGAAAACCUACCGGUCAAUACCCGGUAGCUUGACAUUACCUUUAGAAGAAGCACCGGCUAACUCCGUGCCAGCAGCCGCGGUAAUACGGAGGGUGCGAGCGUUAAUCGGAAUUACUGGGCGUAAAGCGUGCGUAGGCGGUUCGUUAAGUCAGAUGUGAAAGCCCUGGGCUCAACCUGGGAACUGCAUUUGAAACUGGCGGACUAGAGUUUAGUAGAGGGGAGUGGAAUUUCAGGUGUAGCGGUGAAAUGCGUAGAUAUCUGAAGGAACACCAGUGGCGAAGGCGACUCCCUGGACUAGAACUGACGCUGAGGUACGAAAGCGUGGGUAGCAAACAGGAUUAGAUACCCUGGUAGUCCACGCCGUAAACGAUGUCGACUAGCCGUUGGGCCUAUAUACAGGUUUAGUGGCGCAGCUAACGCAUUAAGUCGACCGCCUGGGGAGUACGGCCGCAAGGUUAAAACUCAAAUGAAUUGACGGGGGCCCGCACAAGCGGUGGAGCAUGUGGUUUAAUUCGAUGCAACGCGAAGAACCUUACCUACCCUUGACAUCCAGAGAAUCUGUUAGAGA
Molecule: ribosomal RNA, 619 nt
Filed under: uncultured bacterium
Lineage: Bacteria
Description: bacterial SSU rRNA
Rfam family: Bacterial small subunit ribosomal RNA
Source: RNAcentral